AUGGCGCUCGGCGGCUGCGGCAACGAAGCUGAUGGUGCACGAGCCAACCAUGGAGGCAGUAGCACGGGGCAGCGACAGCAGCAUGGAGGGCGUCCUCUUGUUUGGGAAGGUAAUGGAACUGCAAAUAGGAGUGGCAGCGGCGACCAGGAUGCAAAUGGAAGUGGUUCCCAAAGACCUUGGAAAGGACUUAAAGACAAUAACUUAUAUGAUCCUUGGAAUCAUGCAUGGCCGUAUUAUGGGGGUUUUGAUUGCACGUACUGCAGCCUAAAGCACAAAGGUGGAGGUGCAACCCGUGUCGCGGAGCACCUUGGUGGUAUUGUAGCUGCUGUCCUUGACCCAUAUACACAUUACAAGCUGAACCUUUGCAACCACACAGAUUAUGCCACUUCACUAACAGAUGCGAUAGCGAAGAUAUUAGACCGAGUGAGUGCUCUUUCAGCCAUUGAUGAAGUGAGCAAGUUCAGGGAGUGCCAAGGGAGGUUUGGGACCAGAUUGGCAGAAGAAGCUGCGGCGAGAAUGGGGCCAACCCAAUGGUGGUUUCAGUUUGGAGGGGAUGUUCCUGCAUUGCAGAAAUGUGCAAUGAGAAUUUGCUCACAAUGUGUCUCCUCUAGUGGGUGUGAGAGAAAUUGGAGCGCUUUUGCUUUGGUGCACACAAAGCAAAGAAGUCAUCUUCUAUAUGACAAGCUCCACAAGCUAGUUUCUGUACGCUACAACUUAAAGAUACGUGCUGAAGAAGAUCAAGAGAAAGAGAGAGAUAUAGAUAAAGAAAUUGAUCCAAGUGCAUUGCUAAUGGAUACCACAAUGUUUGAUGAAACAAACCCAAUAAUGGAGUGGCUGAAUGAGGAUGUAGAGGAUCCGAUUGUGGAUGGAGCUGAUGCAGCUAGUGCUGUUUUUGAGCAAAUAAGGCGCCUCAACUCAAGCAGGAAGGCGUCUUAUGUUGGUUCAAAGGGUAAUAACAAGAAAAGAAAGAGGAAUGAUGAUGAUGAGAAUGAGUUUCUUGAAACUGAGAGUGAGGAUGAUGAAGAAGAGAAUGAAUAUGUUGAUAAUGACAUCGAGGAUGAUGAUGGGGUGAGUGAGGAUGAUGAGGAUGGUGAACAAGAUCAGCUUGAGACACAAAUGCAACUUGAAGAAGAGACACAAGUACAAGUUCAAAAGGAGGCACCAACAAGCACUGGCCAUUUGGAGACUAGAUCUGGACGACUUAUUAGGAAGAAGACCAAGAACGUCAACAGCCUCUACUCGUAA
This 1245-nucleotide ribosomal RNA is filed under the name Triticum aestivum (bread wheat). RNAcentral describes it as "partial small subunit ribosomal RNA". Lineage: Eukaryota; Viridiplantae; Streptophyta; Magnoliopsida; Poales; Poaceae. The record is from RNAcentral.